Long non-coding RNA from Pezoporus occidentalis (night parrot), 1329 nucleotides. RefSeq lists it as uncharacterized. The transcript has 3 exons. The record is from RefSeq and is a predicted model, not a curated record. Lineage: Eukaryota; Metazoa; Chordata; Aves; Psittaciformes; Psittacidae.
GAGAUUUGUGUCCUGCUUUCUCCUAAGCCCUGCAGUGCACUUGCAGGAUACUUCAGGGGCUCUAGGGGUUCCAUCCCUCUCAAGACUCAUUCUGGUGAGAGCACCUCAGGGCUCUUGAAUAAAACACAAGGUGGAGACAGUGCUUAACUACUGCUAGAGCCCCAGGAGAGGCUCAGUAGGUAACAGCCCAUGCAGUAUAUGCUGAUCCAGCACAUACAAACAUCCUCUUUGCCGGGACAAGUCUGAGCUUCUCUCCUUCCUCCUUGUGCUUUUCCCUUGAGGGAUUGAAUGCAGACAGAGAAGAGGAAACUCUCCUUGGGAUGUUCGUGUACAACGUGGCAAAAGAGGCUAUUCAAACCUUCCCUCUGAAGAACACGCACAGAGCCUUUGCACACAUCAAACUUAUUGUGAAGAGCAACUGGGGAAACACAGCCUACACCUGCAUUUAUCGAGUGCAGGUUCAUGGAAAGAUGGCACAACAAGAAAACCUCAGCUGAAACCACAGAAGAAAAAGAACACAAAUAAAAAAGAGAAAUGGGGGAGGAGGGAUAAAUGGUUUGUCAGAUCAGAGUGGUGUAGAGGAUCUGUCUCUAAAGUAAGGUGUGCAGGAAGGUCCAUUGGGGGAUGGGUAGGAGCACCCGCUGACAGGGCUACAGGGCAGCCUGCAGGCAGCGGAUGUGGGUCACCCACAAUCCUUGGGACAGCUCCUUGGGGCUGCCAGGGGCUUGUGAGCUUCUUCUUUUAAUUUCCCAGUAGCGGGGCUGGAGAAGCAUUGGAUUUCCCCAGUGCACCAUCAAAGGGGUGUGUGUGAUGCCUGCCUUCUCCCGGGGGCGGUUUCAGGGGUGUGCAGCCAGCUGUGCAGCCAGGGGUACCCAGGGUUGUCAUUCCAAGUAGGGUCCCUGCACCCCAGGGGCUGCGAGUUGGAGCAGCCUGGGUGAAGUCAUCUCCCUGCUGAAAGAGGCAGCGCAGGGCAGCUGAGACCAAAGCUGAUGGACAGGCACGUGGGAGCUGCAGCUCUUGGAUGUCUGACUCUUCCUCGGCAUCUACCUGACUGUACUCCUGGGCAACGAACUCCUCAUCACCACCACAGCCUGCAACCAGUGCCUUCACACCCCAUGUACUUCUUCCUCCUCGACCUCCCCCUGCUGGACCUGUGCUCCAUGUCCACCACUGUCACUAAACCCAUUGCCAGGUCCCUCUGGAACACCAGGGCCACCUUCUUCCUGGGAUGUGCUGCCCAGGUCUUUUUCUUUCUCUCCUCAAACACAGACGAGUUUUAUCUUCUCACCAUCACGCCCUACAACCACUAUGUGUCCAUCUGCCAGCCCC